CAUCAAGGACCCUGCUUUGGUAUAUCAAAAUUAGAUCAAGGUUUGAUGCACGAUAUGAAGUGUUAUCAAAAUUGGUAUUGGAAAUCCAGCAUCAUUUAACACCUUGGCUCAAUAGAUGCCACUGAUCCAAUGGUGUACAAUGUUUUAUGAAAACUAAACUUGUGAACAAAUCCUAAAACUAGAAUGGAAAAAUCUUAAAAUAAUUGACCAUGUUCAGGACAAAGAACAUAAAUUAGUAAGAUGCAUGAUUCAGUCAGCUCUUGGAAAAUUUAUAUUUUCCGGCAGAGUAUUAACGAUUUCCUUUAAUGUAACAUUUCUUGGAAGUGGUUCUCCUAUCUGUCUGAAGCGGUAACUUUCUGCAAACUGCUCUGAGCACUGUUUGCCGAAGGUGGUGCAACUAGAAUGGAAACUGCUUGAACAGGUUUGGUUUGGUCCUUUUCAAGUGGAAUAAACCACUUUUCUCUUUCUUUCCCUUCGGAAGAAGCCUGUCCCAUGUCAAGUGAUGAAUGCCUGUUUAUCAAACAAGCAUCAUAAUGUGGAAAAUUACGAAUAAGAGAAAUUAUACAAGCAGUGGCUGAACAUAAAGACAUAAGUCUUGUUCUAUUUCAAAUGAUGAACACAGAUUAUAAGGGUGGCAAAAAUCAUUCAAGCCAAUGCUCCAGGGCUAGAGAGAAUUAUGAGAAACGCAUGAAGAAAAUAUUUAAAAUUUGGUAUAGAAGCAAGACAAUCUUGAUAAAUGGCAAGAAAUGAUGAAUAAGUGAAGGAGCCAAGUUAUUAUACACAUUAGUGAAAUUUCAUUAUAACUGAGAACAAUAGAACUUUGAGUUGUCCCAAGAAAGCUGCAAAAACAAUGAUGAGAGUUUUUCUUUUUACAUUUCCUAUUGUUGGGUUAGAUGAAGUAACUAUUGCAAGUUUACGAAUGUAGCUUAUCAAAUUGUCAAAUAUUUCAAUGCUACAGUGGUAUUUUUCUUUAGAGAAGGAAUACAGAUGAAGACCGAGACAGGGACAGAAAACACUAGUUAUCUAGAUCAGAAGCUAUCAAAAGCAAAAAUAUUAAGCAAUAAUUGGAUAUCAAUUAUUAGUUUCCAGUACUGUUAAUCUGUUACUAAAGGAAAGAAUUGGCAGCAGCUAAAGCAGAAACGAUACUACCUAAGAAUGCAAGCACCAGCAACCGCAAGGCUCUAACCAGGUGCAUUGUAAGGCUACAAAUCACAUGUGAGCAUAGAAAUCCUACUUAUUUCAAAACAUAAAAUCAUAUUCUAAACCAUUCUUGCGCAAAUCUUGAAUUUCCUCUUUGCCUAAAAGUACAGCACUUAUCCUUCUCUGAAUUUGCAUCUAAAUUGAUGUGAUGAACUUACAAUGCAGUAGAGAAGCAAGCAACUCUAACUAGAUAGAGACAUUGAAGUUCCAACCAAGUAGUAGAGAUUGAGAAAUAAAAGUACCAGGAGGGUAAAGUGUUGUCAUCUUCUUACUCCGGAUUGGCCUUGGUUGGGGGUUCAUGAAAACGAAAACAAAAUCUGCAAGUCUGCAAUGCAUGGAGCAAAAAAGAAAUACGCUUUGUUUCCUUUUUCCAAGGACUAGAAAGAAGCUCAAGAGUAGGCUAAUUAUAUAUACCUCCAGGGUCUUGCUC
Molecule: unclassified non-coding RNA, 1630 nt
Filed under: Hevea brasiliensis (rubber tree)
Lineage: Eukaryota; Viridiplantae; Streptophyta; Magnoliopsida; Malpighiales; Euphorbiaceae
Source: RNAcentral